Molecule: ribosomal RNA, 496 nt
Filed under: uncultured bacterium
Lineage: Bacteria
Description: partial 16S ribosomal RNA
Rfam family: Bacterial small subunit ribosomal RNA
Source: RNAcentral
GAUGAACGCUGGCGGCGUGCCUAAUACAUGCAAGUCGAGCGAACAGACGAGGAGCUUGCUCCUCUGACGUUAGCGGCGGACGGGUGAGUAACACGUGGAUAACCUACCUAUAAGACUGGGAUAACUUCGGGAAACCGGAGCUAAUACCGGAUAAUAUAUUGAACCGCAUGGUUCAAUAGUGAAAGACGGUUUUGCUGUCACUUAUAGAUGGAUCCGCGCCGCAUUAGCUAGUUGGUAAGGUAACGGCUUACCAAGGCAACGAUGCGUAGCCGACCUGAGAGGGGGUUCGGCCACACGGAAACGGAGACACGGCCCAGACCCUUAGGGGAGGCAGAGGAGGGAAAUCUUCGGAAAGGGGCGAAAGCUUGACGAAGAAACGCCAGGGAGUUGUGGAAGGGUUUCGAUUGGUAAAACCUUGUUAUUGGGGAAAAACAAUUGUGAAGUUAACAAUGAACGCUUGAACGUAACCUAUUCAAAAGGCAACGCCAAACAAGUG